UACAGAGGGGGCAAGCGUUGUUCGGAAUUACUGGGCGUAAAGGGCGCGUAGGCGGCCUGCUAAGUCGAACGUGAAAUCCCCGAGCUCAACUCGGGAACUGCGUCCGAUACUGGCAGGCUUGAAUCCGGGAGAGGGAUGCGGAAUUCCAGGUGUAGCGGUGAAAUGCGUAGAUAUCUGGAGGAACACCGGUGGCGAAGGCGGCGUCCUGGACCAACACUGACGCUGAGGUGCGAAAGCGUGGGGAGCAAACAGG
RNAcentral lists this ribosomal RNA (253 nucleotides) under uncultured bacterium. RNAcentral's name for it is "partial 16S ribosomal RNA". It matches the Rfam family "Bacterial small subunit ribosomal RNA", at positions 524 to 776 of the family's 1533-position model. The record is from RNAcentral.